UACAAAUCAAUGCAAACAAAUAUGGAGGGCAAUGAUCGAACUAGAAUAGUCAUUAACUAAGCCAUUAAAUUCAUGCAGACUCAAUAUGCAUAAGUGUAGAUUUCGUGGUUCAAAACUCGCGUGCCUGUUCAAUUCAACUCAAUGAACAUGUCCUCAAUCAACUAUUAAGACUACAGUGACAUUUAUUUUUACUAAUAUCCUAAUAUGUUCAAACUAUAGCUUUUAGAACAGGUCCACAUUUCUAUACAAGCGAUGGAAACCUGGAAUGAAUCAGUCAUGACCUGCUAUAGUAGUCUAGAUCUAACUAUUACAUACAACAAUCAAAUGGCUUACAAUAAACUCAAAACACUUAACUAGACUCGAAACAGUCCAGUCCAAGUUAUACAGUCCAAUUUUAUGUGUGUACAAACCAAAAUAAAACUACAUUAACCUAUUACAUAUCAUUUAAGGUUCAUUUGACCAUUUAACAUCGCAAUCCAAACAAGUACAGUUCAAGGAGCAGGUGUAGGACACUUUUCAUUUCAUUUUCACUCAAAAGCUACACCAAGUGAAGUUCAUAUAUGUACCUGGAAUUACAAUGAAACAAAGGAAGAGGUCAGCAGUGACAAUAUAGCAGUCGAAACUCAAUAGUAAAACCACAGCAGCAGGACUAAUUUGGAAGCCAAACUUGCAUCAACCUAACAUAAACCAAACAUAGCCUUUGAUUGAACCCAAAUACACUCGAAAUUGAAACCAUUAAACUUCUAAAGUAUUAACACCUCAAACACAUGUUUAGAUCAUUCUCAUCUUAUUUAGCCUAGAUAUUCAAAUUGACAGCUAGAAAUUGAAACUAAUAUGAGGGAAAAACUUGAAUAACACAGUAUUUAUGGGAAUAUUUUGAAGCUUUUGGGUCUAAAAGAGCUUUCCAACUCUAAAUUGCAGAUCUAGCUUUUGGAGCUUAAAAUUCAAACUUUCAGAGAUUUUCAUAACUCUAAACCUCUGGGAAUCUGGAAAUUUUAGGAAAGCUUAAAGGAUUUUUCAGACUUUUUGGGAGUUUUUAGGGGUCAAAAGCUUGGGAAUUUUCCGGAAUUUCUAACUUUUGGAAUCUUUCAGAAUCUGGAAUUUUUUGGGUUUUUCUCAAGAUUUUUC
Molecule: long non-coding RNA, 1128 nt
Filed under: Nicotiana benthamiana
Lineage: Eukaryota; Viridiplantae; Streptophyta; Magnoliopsida; Solanales; Solanaceae
Description: long non-coding RNA (NBEN_LNC040172)
Source: RNAcentral